UAAACCAGCACCUCAAGUGGUCAGGAUGAUUAUUGGGCCUAAAGCAUCCGUAGCCGGCUCUGUAAGUUUUCGGUUAAAUCUAUACGCUCAACGUAUGGGCUGCCGAAAAUACUGUAGAGAUAGGGAGUGGGAGAGGUAGACGGUACUCGGUAGGAAGGGGUAAAAUCCUUUGAUCUAUCGAUGACCACCUGUGGCGAAGGCGGUCUACCAGAACACGUUCGACGGUGAGGGAUGAAAGCUGGGGGAGCAAACCGGAUUAGAUACCCGGGUAGUCCCAGCUGUAAACGAUGCAGACUCGAUGAUGCAUUGGCAUAUAGCCAGUGCAGUGUCGCAGGGAAGCCGUUAAGUCUGCCGCCUGGGAAGUACGUACGCAAGUAUGAAACUUAAAGGAAUUGGCGGGGGAGCACCACAAGGGGUGAAGCCUGCGGUUCAAUUGGAGUCAACGCCAGAAAUCUUACCCGGAGAGACAGCAGAAUGAAGGUCAAGCUGAAGACUUUACCAGACAAGCUGAGAGGUGGUGCAUGGCCGUCGCCAGCUCGUGCCGUGAGAUGUCCUGUUAAGUCAGGUAACGAGCGAGAUCCCUGCCACUAGUUGCUAUCAUUAUUCUCAGGAAUAGUGGGGCGAAUUAGUGGGACUGCCGUUGUUAAAACGGAGGAAGGAAGGGGCUACGGCAGGUCAGUAUGCCCCGAAACUCUGGGGCCACACGCGGGCUGCAAUGGUAGCGACAAUGAGUUCCAAACUCGAAAGAGAGUGGCAAUCCCUAAACGCUACCACAGUUAUGACUGAGGGCUGUAACUCGCCCUCACGAAUAUGGAAUCCCUAGUAACCGCGUGUCAUUACCGCGCGGUGAAUACGUCCCUGCUCCUUGCACACACCGCCCGUCGUUUCAUCGAAGUUUGCUUUUAGACGAGGUGAUGUUUAAUUGGCAUAUCGAGCUGA
This 939-nucleotide ribosomal RNA is filed under the name uncultured crenarchaeote. RNAcentral describes it as "bacterial SSU rRNA". It matches the Rfam family "Archaeal small subunit ribosomal RNA", at positions 472 to 1411 of the family's 1478-position model. Lineage: Archaea; Thermoproteati; Thermoproteota. The record is from RNAcentral.